UACAUGUGGGGCAAGCGUUGUUCGGAAUUACUGGGCAUAAAGGGUGCGUAGGCGGCUCGUUUAGUCACUGGUGAAAGUUUUCGGCCCAACCGGAAAAUUGCCUGUGAUACUGGCGAGCUCGAGUGCGUGAGGGGUUGGGGGAACGAGCAGUGUAGCGGUGAAAUGCGUAGAUAUUGCUCGGAAGGCCGGAGCCGAAGGGGCCCAACUGGUACGCAACUGACGCUGAGGCACGAAAGCGUGGGGAGCAAACAGG
RNAcentral lists this ribosomal RNA (253 nucleotides) under uncultured bacterium. Its description in RNAcentral is "partial 16S ribosomal RNA". It matches the Rfam family "Bacterial small subunit ribosomal RNA", at positions 524 to 776 of the family's 1533-position model. The record is from RNAcentral.